RNAcentral lists this long non-coding RNA (348 nucleotides) under Capsella rubella. RNAcentral describes it as "long non-coding RNA (CRUB_LNC004239)". Lineage: Eukaryota; Viridiplantae; Streptophyta; Magnoliopsida; Brassicales; Brassicaceae. The record is from RNAcentral.
AAAUUCGGUUUAUAACAUUGAAAAUGUAAAAUGACGUUCUCUAUGAAAUACAAAUAUAUUUUUUUCAGAAUGACAAUCUUUGUAAAACAGAGAGUAUUUUUUUUUUUUUUUGAUUACUCAGGGUAAAUCCCGGGACCUAUGUAAAACAUGGAGUAUUGUAACUCGAUCAAACAACUUUUCUUAAUUAGACCACAUGGCAUGCAAUCAUACAAAACUUUUGUAAGACUUUAAAUUUGUGUGUUCUUUGUUUAAUAGAGUCAACCAUGCUUAAUGUUAUGUAUUUUACUAGGGCACUACAUAACCUUAAUGUGUAAUAACAGAAACAUGGCAGUGGCACAUGCAACACAU